RNAcentral lists this ribosomal RNA (797 nucleotides) under Bacillus sp. DWSR20. RNAcentral describes it as "bacterial SSU rRNA". It matches the Rfam family "Bacterial small subunit ribosomal RNA", at positions 39 to 818 of the family's 1533-position model. Lineage: Bacteria; Bacillati; Bacillota; Bacilli; Caryophanales; Bacillaceae. The record is from RNAcentral.
GGGGGGGGCCCUAUAAUGCAGUCGAGCGAAUGGAUUAAGAGCUUGCUCUUAUGAAGUUAGCGGCGGACGGGUGAGUAACACGUGGGUAACCUGCCCAUAGGACUGGGAUAACUCCGGGAAACCGGGGCUAAUACCGGAUAACAUUUUGAACCGCAUGGUUCGAAAUUGAAAGGCGGCUUCGGCUGUCACUUAUGGAUGGACCCGCGUCGCAUUAGCUAGUUGGUGAGGUAACGGCUCACCAAGGCAACGAUGCGUAGCCGACCUGAGAGGGUGAUCGGCCACACUGGGACUGAAACCCGGCCCAAACUCCUACGGGAGGCAUCAGUAGGGAAUCUUCCGCAAUGGACGAAAGUCUGACGGAGCAACGCCGCGUGAGUGAUGAAGGCUUUCGGGUCGUAAAACUCUGUUGUUAGGGAAGAACAAGUGCUAGUUGAAUAAGCUGGCACCUUGACGGUACCUAACCAAAAAGCCACGGCUAACUACGUGCCAGCAGCCGCGGUAAUACGUAGGUGGCAAGCGUUAUCCGGAAUUAUUGGGCGUAAAGCGCGCGCAGGUGGUUUCUUAAUUCUGAUGUGAAACCCCACGGCUCAACCGUGGAGGGUCAUUGGAAACUGGGAGACUUGAGUGCAGAAGAGGAAAGUGGAAUUCCAUGUGUAGCGGUGAAAUGCGUAGAGAUAUGGAGGAACACCAGUGCCGAAGGCGACUUUCUGGUCUGUACUGACACUGAGGCGCGAAAGCGUGAGGAGCAAACAUGAUUAGAUACGCUGGUUAGUCCACGCAGUAAACGAUGAGUGCUA